AUGCGUACGGAGGUUAUCAAGGCGGACACCAUUGAUGCUGCCGUUGAAAGGAUUCUCAAUGAGCUUGGGAAAGACACUAGAAGAAGCAACAACAAAGAGAAUGCCAUCUACUUUGAUGGCUGGAACGGACUCGGGGCAUCUGCCGUCCUGCAAGCCGUAGCCAAACGCCUCGCCAUAUCAAGUGAGCUGCUGGCGAGGUCUCCAGGGCUGGAGUUUGAGAAAAUCAUCCACAUUGAUUGCUCAAAGUGGGAGAGUAGAAGAGCAGUGCAGAAGAAAAUCGCAGAGCAGCUGAAGCUUACUGAUAAGGUGAUGGAGAUGUUUGACAAACAAGAUGAGGAGGAUGAUUUCAACGGGUUAGACCAGUGCUCCCGUGGUGAGAUAGCACAAGUUUUCACAGAGAUAUAUCAAACCAUAGAGAAUCGCAGAUUCCUGGUGAUCCUGCAUAAUGGAGGCAACGAGAAGAUUGAUAUAUUCAAUUUUGGCCUUUCUCUAUAUGGAUAUGCCAAUAGCAAGAUCCUGUGGACUUUUCGAGGGAGGUUUCGGCUUGACCCCAAGGUGAUAGACAUUGUGAAAAACAGCACGACAACACAUGUUCUUCUUUCAGCUUCAAGAGAUGGGCGCGAUAGGCACGAGCUUUGGUCUUAUCUAGUGCGUCAGGAGGCUGCACAAGUUUCCUACAAUAUGCAUGGCGAUGGUGUCAUUAUUGAUUCAACAAUUGCUGGCGAGUGUGUCUUGUAUAUGCUGAAACAAUACUGCAUCGGUUCUCCCGUUGUUGACUACGACUAG
RNAcentral lists this ribosomal RNA (786 nucleotides) under Triticum aestivum (bread wheat). Its description in RNAcentral is "partial small subunit ribosomal RNA". The record is from RNAcentral. Lineage: Eukaryota; Viridiplantae; Streptophyta; Magnoliopsida; Poales; Poaceae.